AGGGAUAUAGUUAAACGGUAGAAUAGCGGUCUCCAAAACCGUUGAUGGGGGUUCGAUUCCCUCUAUCCCCUGCCA
Molecule: transfer RNA, 75 nt
Filed under: Leuconostoc mesenteroides KFRI-MG
Lineage: Bacteria; Bacillati; Bacillota; Bacilli; Lactobacillales; Lactobacillaceae
Description: tRNA-Trp (CCA) (tRNA-Trp-CCA-1-1)
Rfam family: tRNA
About the family: Transfer RNA (tRNA) molecules are approximately 80 nucleotides in length. Their secondary structure includes four short double-helical elements and three loops (D, anti-codon, and T loops). Further hydrogen bonds mediate the characteristic L-shaped molecular structure. tRNAs have two regions of fundamental functional importance: the anti-codon, which is responsible for specific mRNA codon recognition, and the 3' end, to which the tRNAs corresponding amino acid is attached (by aminoacyl-tRNA synthetases). tRNAs cope with the degeneracy of the genetic code in two manners: having more than one tRNA (with a specific anti-codon) for a particular amino acid; and 'wobble' base-pairing, i.e. permitting non-standard base-pairing at the 3rd anti-codon position.
Source: RNAcentral